AUUUGUGCAUAAAGUAUUUUGAAUAUUAAUGAACAAAGUGCAUUUAUUAUUAAUGAAGAAAGUCACGAAAAAAUAGUGAAAGAAAAUGAAGAAGAAAAGCGUAAAGAGCUAAAAAGAAAAAAACUAAUGCACGUCAAAGGGCAUAUUAUCAGCGUCAGAAAGAUUUGAAGAAAAAUGAAGAAAUAAUAAAAACAGUACCAAAAUCAAAUACUGAACGUCAAAGGAAAUUUCGUCAACAUAAUGCAGAAAAAUCUUACAUGGAUAUAAAAAGACGAAAAUUGUGCAGUAAUGAAGUUUCAAUGAUAAAUAUUCUUGAAUAACCAACAGCUACUGUAAGAUAAUAAAACCCACAUGUAUUGUAAAAUAAUAAAAAUAUUUUAAACAAUA
Long non-coding RNA from Microplitis demolitor, 387 nucleotides. RefSeq lists it as uncharacterized. The transcript has 3 exons. The record is from RefSeq and is a predicted model, not a curated record. Lineage: Eukaryota; Metazoa; Arthropoda; Insecta; Hymenoptera; Braconidae.